AGCCCUUACUUGUGUACUUGAGAAUAUUUAUAAGUAUGCAUGUAUUUGUGCAUUUCUGUGUGUGGCACACAAUAGCACAAAAGUGAUUUCUCCCAAGACCCUCUAAUGAACAUUUUUAACUGAUGAACAAUCUGGGGAAAAGCUGGGACAAUUGGUCAGUAGGUUAAAAGAGAAGAGCUUGUUUUUGUGCAACUCCAGAAGCGAAGCACAGUUAAAAGCACAGAACAAAAAAACACCAAAAGACCAAGAGCAACAAUAGGGUGUUUUCCUUCCUGUAUGUUUGUUACAGUUCUUGCUGGAAAAAGAAAGAAAGCCAAAAGAAAAUGUGGCACACGGGUCACUAUGUUCUUUGGGAAUCAGAAAUAGACUGAGUGGGCUUAGUAGGCAAACACACAUUUCACAAACUUCUCAUCACAAAGCCAAUAUUUGUUCAGGAGAGAAUUCUUCCUUUGGGUAAUUAAUAUUUUCUUGCUAUUUAUUGCUCACUGGAUGGAAGUUUUGGAAUGUGUAAGGAAGGGGGGAAAGCUGGCAGUGUUCCUCGCAGUUAUUACAUUGCCGUGGAGGCCUCCAACAAAAAUCACAGCACCGAGUGUACAUUCCUUUCAUAAGCAAAAUGGAUCAUCAGGCGAUGGAAUGGCUUCAAAGGAAUGCGUGCAUCAUGCCUUUGACAUUUUGCUAGAGCUCAAGCAGGAGGGGAAAAAAGAGCUAUGGAGAAGCACUUUCCUUGUGCCGUGCAUUUGUUCUUCCCUGUCUGCUGUGAAGGAAGAUUUCCACUUGGCACUUUGUAGACUGGAACCUCAGCCCUUCCUCUUCCAAGCCACACGUUCGAGAAAAGCCAGAGAGUUUACAUUAGAGAGGAACAGGAGGUGAAGGAAAUUGUAAACUCAAGUGAGAUGUUAUGGGGCAGGUUAGAUGCUGGUGGGUAGACUAACAAAAGUGGAAUGUUAUUGCUAAAAUCUGGCUCCUUCCAAAAAAACUCUUAACGUUGUCAAAGCCUCGAGUUUAGUCUGCUAGUUUCAGACAUUCCAACAUAUGCUUCUUAUUUUGUUUUUAAUACUUACAGUCCAUCCAGAGACAAUUCAUGGCAACCGUGGCUAUUGUAACACUAUAUAAAACAUGGGGUUUGAUGACAACUGAUAUGAAGUGUGAUUGGAAAAAAUAAUGCCCCCUGGUAAUGAUAAUAUUUCCUGCUCAGAUUGGUCUCACGAUAAUAGGUCUGCUCCAGUGGUGUUUGCAGAGUUAUGUACAGGACUCUGGUAUUACAUUACAGCUGCUGCCUGGUUAUACAUCCGUGUGAAUAGGAGGAAAUAAAUACACGUGAAGAAAUACCAGAAGGACCAAAAAAUGGGGCCCAACAUUGGCAAUUUCUUGUUUGGGUCUUGGGGUGGGUGAAGCAUUGGCACUUGGACCUGACCAACCAUGGAAGCAUCUCAUCUCGAUCUGAGAGGAGGGAAGAAAUGCAACCUCUGGAGCAUGCCCAGGCUCUGGGCCCUGGGAACUUGGCAGGCUGCUGGAGAGGUCAGAAAGAGCCUGGGGCAGAAAGCUUCACUCUGAGAUGCGAGUGAAUGUGGAUGAGGAAUUCUAGAUGAGUCACAGCGGUCGGAGCGGACCCAGAGGAGAUGGAGGCGAGGUCAACCACUGUGCUUUGCCGCAUCCUUUCUGUCGGAGGAGACAUCUGCUAAAACCAGCUGUGGCAGCGGCUUGUGAGUGAUGGAAGGCUGGACUCAAGACUGCAAUUCAGCUCAUUAAAAGCACCCCGGGGGCUGCUAUGGUUAUUUGCCCCCUGUAGUGCUGGCAUUUUUCAGGCCAGGUCAGAACUCAUUGCUCCAGGCUCUGCGCUCUCUCCAGGCUCUCCCCAUCCUUUGUCCGAAGGCACGUCUUUAGUCUGUUCCUCGUUUUAUCCACCACCUCGAAGGCAGAGACCUGUGUCUGAGCAGACUCCCAUCCCCUGCCCUGAACAAAUGUGGUCAGCGUGAAACGAAGCCCAGAGCGGCAGCGCGUUCCCCUGUGAGCAGACGGAAAGUUUCAAAGGCACAAAGGGUAUUUAGGCACUGACUUCAAAGUCAGUAAGUUGGAUGCUGAAAAAAAAUCUCCCCCGUAGCCUUUAUGUCAUGCCACUUAAUAAGUAAUUAAAAGCUCAAAAAUCAUGAGUCUGCUGCUUUCAUUACUUCCUAAAGC
RNAcentral lists this long non-coding RNA (2178 nucleotides) under Gallus gallus (chicken). The record is from RNAcentral. Lineage: Eukaryota; Metazoa; Chordata; Aves; Galliformes; Phasianidae.